RNAcentral lists this small nuclear RNA (304 nucleotides) under Anolis carolinensis (green anole). RNAcentral's name for it is "7SK RNA". It matches the Rfam family "7SK RNA". From Rfam's summary of the family: 7SK was discovered as an abundant small nuclear RNA in the mid-70s but a possible function has only recently been suggested. The record is from Rfam by way of RNAcentral. Lineage: Eukaryota; Metazoa; Chordata; Lepidosauria; Squamata; Anolidae.
GGAUGUGAGGGCGAUCUGGUUGCAACAUCUGUCACCUCAAUGAUUGCCAGAGCUGAUUCAGCUGAUCUGGCUGGCUAGGCGAGUGUCCCCUCCCACCCUCACCACUUCAUGUAUGUCUCUCCCGAAGCUGCGCGCUUGGUGGAAGAGGAUGACAUCCCAAAUAUCGAAGAAGUGUACCUACAUAACCAAUCUUGUUUGUAACUUGGGGACUGCUUGUACAUAUGUAUAUUCAUUCACUAUGUUCUCAAAUAUUCUUCUACUAAUAGAAAAUGUAACUGAGAUAGGACACAGUCUUACAUGUUUC